AAAGGAAUUGACGGGUCCCCGCACAAGCGGUGGAGCAUGUGGCUUAAUUCGAUGCAACGCGAAGAACCUUACCAGGUCUUGACAUGUAGAGGACCGGUCCAGAAAUGGAUCUUCCCUUCGGGGCCUCUUCACAGGUGCUGCAUGGCUGUCGUCAGCUCGUGUCGUGAGAUGUUCGGUUAAGUCCGUCAACGAGCGCAACCCCUGUCCUUAGUUGCCAGCAUUCAGUUGGGGACUCUAAGGAGACUAACUGUGUUUAACAGUGGGAAGGUGGGGAUGAUGUCAAGUCAGUAUGGCCCUUACGACCUGGGCUGCACACGUGCUACAAUGCCUGGUACAAUGAGCACCGAUACCGCGAGGUGGAGGAAAUCUAUAAAGCCAGGCCCAGUUCAGAUUGUAGUCUGCAACUCGACUACAUGAAGUUGGAAUCGCUAGUAAUGGCGCAUCAGCUACGGCGCCGUGAAUACGUUCCCGGGGAUUGUACACACCGCCCGU
Molecule: ribosomal RNA, 492 nt
Filed under: uncultured bacterium
Lineage: Bacteria
Description: bacterial SSU rRNA
Rfam family: Bacterial small subunit ribosomal RNA
Source: RNAcentral